AACGAACGCUGGCGGCAUGCCUAACACAUGCAAGUCGAACGAGACCUUCGGGUCUAGUGGCGCACGGGUGCGUAACGCGUGGGAAUCUGCCCUUAGGUACGGAAUAACUCAGGGAAACUUGAGCUAAUACCGUAUAAUGACUUCGGUCCAAAGAUUUAUCGCCUAAGGAUGAGCCCGCGUCGGAUUAGCUAGUUGGUGAGGUAAAAGCUCACCAAGGCGACGAUCCGUAGCUGGCUGAGAGGAUGAUCAGCCACACUGGGACUGAGACACGGCCCAGACUCCUACGGGAGGCAGCAGUGGGGAAUAUUGGACAAUGGGCGAAAGCCUGAUCCAGCAAUGCCGCGUGAGUGAUGAAGGCCUUAGGGUUGUAAAGCUCUUUUACCCGGGAUGAUAAUGACAGUACCGGGAGAAUAAGCCCCGGCUAACUCCGUGCCAGCAGCCGCAGUAAG
RNAcentral lists this ribosomal RNA (449 nucleotides) under uncultured bacterium. Its description in RNAcentral is "bacterial SSU rRNA". It matches the Rfam family "Bacterial small subunit ribosomal RNA", at positions 29 to 524 of the family's 1533-position model. The record is from RNAcentral.